GUGGGGAAUCUUAGACAAUGGGCGCAAGCCUGAUCUAGCCAUGCCGCGUGAGCGAUGAAGGCCUUAGGGUUGUAAAGCUCUUUCAGGGGGGAAGAUAAUGACGGUACCCCCAGAAGAAGCCCCGGCUAACUCCGUGCCAGCAGCCGCGGUAAUACGGAGGGGGCUAGCGUUGUUCGGAAUUACUGGGCGUAAAGCGCACGUAGUCGGACCAGAAAGUCAGGGGUGAAAUCCCGGGGCUCAACCCCGGAACUGCCUUUGAAACUCCUGGUCGUGAGGUCGAGAGAGGUGAGUGGAAUUCCGAGUGUAGAGGUGAAAUUCGUAGAUAUUCGGAGGAACACCAGUGGCGAAGGCGGCUCACUGGCUCGAUACUGACGCUGGGGUGCGAAAGCGUGGGGAGCAAACAGGAUUAGAAACCCUAGUAGUCC
This 425-nucleotide ribosomal RNA is filed under the name uncultured bacterium. RNAcentral describes it as "bacterial SSU rRNA". It matches the Rfam family "Bacterial small subunit ribosomal RNA", at positions 354 to 796 of the family's 1533-position model. The record is from RNAcentral.